GAGCCUGUAGCUCAGUUGGUAGAGCACGAGACUUUUAAUCUUGGGGCCGUGGGUUCGAAUCCCACCGGGCUCACCA
Molecule: transfer RNA, 76 nt
Filed under: Bradyrhizobium sp.
Lineage: Bacteria; Pseudomonadati; Pseudomonadota; Alphaproteobacteria; Hyphomicrobiales; Nitrobacteraceae
Also listed under: 3 other names
Description: tRNA-Lys
Rfam family: tRNA
About the family: Transfer RNA (tRNA) molecules are approximately 80 nucleotides in length. Their secondary structure includes four short double-helical elements and three loops (D, anti-codon, and T loops).
Source: RNAcentral